GGCGCCUACCAUGCAAGUCGGGCGGUAACACAGGGAGCUUGCUCCUGGGUGACGAGCGGCGGACGGGUGAGUAAUGUCUGGGAAACUGCCUGAUGGAGGGGGAUAACUACUGGAAACGGUAGCUAAUACCGCAUAACGUCUUCGGACCAAAGUGGGGGACCUUCGGGCCUCAUGCCAUCAGAUGUGCCCAGAUGGGAUUAGCUAGUAGGUGGGGUAACGGCUCACCUAGGCGACGAUCCCUAGCUGGUCUGAGAGGAUGACCAGCCACACUGGAACUGAGACACGGUCCAGACUCCUACGGGAGGCAGCAGUGGGGAAUAUUGCACAAUGGGCGCAAGCCUGAUGCAGCCAUGCCGCGUGUAUGAAGAAGGCCUUCGGGUUGUAAAGUACUUUCAGCGAGGAGGAAGGCAUUAAGGUUAAUAACCUUGGUGAUUGACGUUACUCGCAGAAGAAGCACCGGCUAACUCCGUGCCAGCAGCCGCGGUAAUACGGAGGGUGCAAGCGUUAAUCGGAAUUACUGGGCGUAAAGCGCACGCAGGCGGUCUGUCAAGUCGGAUGUGAAAUCCCCGGGCUCAACCUGGGAACUGCAUUCGAAACUGGCAGGCUAGAGUCUUGUAGAGGGGGGUAGAAUUCCAGGUGUAGCGGUGAAAUGCGUAGAGAUCUGGAGGAAUACCGGUGGCGAAGGCGGCCCCCUGGACAAAGACUGACGCUCAGGUGCGAAAGCGUGGGGAGCAAACAGGAUUAGAU
This 747-nucleotide ribosomal RNA is filed under the name bacterium spbL5type3-1. RNAcentral's name for it is "bacterial SSU rRNA". It matches the Rfam family "Bacterial small subunit ribosomal RNA", at positions 45 to 783 of the family's 1533-position model. The record is from RNAcentral.